This 468-nucleotide ribosomal RNA is filed under the name uncultured bacterium. Its description in RNAcentral is "partial 16S ribosomal RNA". It matches the Rfam family "Bacterial small subunit ribosomal RNA", at positions 28 to 507 of the family's 1533-position model. The record is from RNAcentral.
GACGAACGCUGGCGGCGUGCUUAACACAUGCAAGUCGAACGGAAAGACCCUGCUUUUGUGGGGUGCUCGAGUGGCGAACGGGUGAGUAACACGUGAGUAACCUGCCCUUGACUUUGGGAUAACUUCAGGAAACUGGGGCUAAUACCGGAUAGGAGCUCCUGCUGCAUGGUGGGGGUUGGAAAGUUUCGGCGGUUGGGGAUGGACUCGCGGCUUAUCAGCUUGUUGGUGGGGUAGUGGCUUACCAAGGCUUUGACGGGUAGCCGGCCUGAGAGGGUGACCGGCCACAUUGGGACUGAGAUACGGCCCAGACUCCUACGGGAGGCAGCAGUGGAGAAUAUUGCACAAUGGGCGGAAGCCUGAUGCAGCAACGCCGCGUGCGGGAUGACGGCCUUCGGGUUGUAAACCGCUUUCGCCUGUGACAAAGCGUGAGUGACGGUAAUGGGUAAAGAAGCACCGGCUAACUACGUG